Molecule: ribosomal RNA, 534 nt
Filed under: Bifidobacterium longum subsp. suillum
Lineage: Bacteria; Bacillati; Actinomycetota; Actinomycetes; Bifidobacteriales; Bifidobacteriaceae
Description: bacterial SSU rRNA
Rfam family: Bacterial small subunit ribosomal RNA
Source: RNAcentral
UGGUAAUGCCGGAUGCUCCAGUUGAUCGCAUGGUCUUCUGGGAAAGCUUUCGCGGUAUGGGAUGGGGUCGCGUCCUAUCAGCUUGACGGCGGGGUAACGGCCCACCGUGGCUUCGACGGGUAGCCGGCCUGAGAGGGCGACCGGCCACAUUGGGACUGAGAUACGGCCCAGACUCCUACGGGAGGCAGCAGUGGGGAAUAUUGCACAAUGGGCGCAAGCCUGAUGCAGCGACGCCGCGUGAGGGAUGGAGGCCUUCGGGUUGUAAACCUCUUUUAUCGGGGAGCAAGCGAGAGUGAGUUUACCCGUUGAAUAAGCACCGGCUAACUACGUGCCAGCAGCCGCGGUAAUACGUAGGGUGCAAGCGUUAUCCGGAAUUAUUGGGCGUAAAGGGCUCGUAGGCGGUUCGUCGCGUCCGGUGUGAAAGUCCAUCGCUUAACGGUGGAUCCGCGCCGGGUACGGGCGGGCUUGAGUGCGGUAGGGGAGACUGGAAUUCCCGGUGUAACGGUGGAAUGUGUAGAUAUCGGAAAAAAAAAC